GAUUCGCGGCCUAUCAGCUUGUUGGUGAGGUAAUGGCUCACCAAGGCGACGACGGGUAGCCGGCCUGAGAGGGUGACCGGCCACACUGGGACUGAGACACGGCCCAGACUCCUACGGGAGGCAGCAGUGGGGAAUAUUGCACAAUGGGCGAAAGCCUGAUGCAGCAACGCCGCGUGAGGGAUGACGGCCUUCGGGUUGUAAACCUCUUUUAGUAGGGAAGAAGCGAGAGUGACGGUACCUGCAGAAAAAGCACCGGCUAACUACGUGCCAGCAGCCGCGGUAAUACGUAGGGUGCAAGCGUUGUCCGGAAUUAUUGGGCGUAAAGAGCUCGUAGGCGGUUUGUCGCGUCUGCUGUGAAAUCCCGAGGCUCAACCUCGGGCUUGCAGUGGGUACGGGCAGACUAGAGUGCGGUAGGGGAGACUGGAAUUCCUGGUGUAGCGGUGGAAUGCGCAGAUAUCAGGAGGAACACCGAUGGCGAAGGCAGAUCUCUGGGCCGUAACUGACGCUGAGGAGCGAAAGCAUGGGGAGCGAACAGGAUUAGAUACCCUGGUAGUCCAUGCCGUAAACGUUGGGCGCUAGAUGUAGGGACCUUUCCACGGUUUCUGUGUCGUAGCUAACGCAUUAAGCGCCCCGCCUGGGGAGUACGGAAU
This 650-nucleotide ribosomal RNA is filed under the name uncultured Actinomycetes bacterium. RNAcentral describes it as "bacterial SSU rRNA". It matches the Rfam family "Bacterial small subunit ribosomal RNA", at positions 228 to 888 of the family's 1533-position model. Lineage: Bacteria; Bacillati; Actinomycetota; Actinomycetes. The record is from RNAcentral.